Non-coding RNA from Neurospora crassa OR74A, 501 nucleotides. NCBI's taxonomy places the organism in Eukaryota, Fungi, Ascomycota, Sordariomycetes, Sordariales, Sordariaceae. The record is from RefSeq and is a predicted model, not a curated record.
GGCAGUGAAUAUCCACGACAUCUCGGAGUGUUUGAUGACAUGAAGGAGCGACAACCGUGACAAGUCUGGUCAUUUCAAAAUCUGCCCGAUAUCAUCACUUUUUCCCCUCUGCUCUCUGCCGUCUGCUCAAGUUCUCAGAAAGAGUGUGCAGUUUCUGGCCGCCGCAAGACCGACCACGGCGUCCACUUCUUCUUUUCCAAAUCCACCACAUUCCCAUCUUGGUGUGGCUGAUUUAAUGUUCUUAUUUACAAUCCAUCGUUUCCAAAACAGGCCGUCCAAGUGAGGUCUUGGUGCUUCUGACUGCCCAAACCUCGGCUGUGACGAAUCUUCCAGUCAUCCCACGGUAGCCCUGACUGUUAUGAACAAUGCCCGACAACUUCACAUACGCUCACAAAAAGGUCAUCAUGGCACCCAACCGUCAAUUUGAUACUUUUAUCCAUUUCUACCAAGGAUAUCUCUACUUGCAACUUACCUUUUUCUGAACCUAUUCACAUUUGGACU